AAAAAGAAAAACCCUGGGUUUCUGUGUCUAACGUUUAACUGUUCGUCUUAUAUGAAAUUUUUUUAUAAUUAGUGUUUUAUUGUUGUUAAAUGAUAGAACAUAAUUAAUACUUUAUACGUGACUUGUCUUUUUAAUUUUUUUUAAAUAAGACGGACGAUCAAACGCUGAACACGGAAACACGCUGGACACAUA
Oryza sativa Japonica Group (Japanese rice) is the source of this 192-nucleotide microRNA precursor. It matches the Rfam family "MIR812 microRNA precursor family". The record is from Rfam. Lineage: Eukaryota; Viridiplantae; Streptophyta; Magnoliopsida; Poales; Poaceae.